RNAcentral lists this ribosomal RNA (439 nucleotides) under uncultured bacterium. Its description in RNAcentral is "bacterial SSU rRNA". It matches the Rfam family "Bacterial small subunit ribosomal RNA", at positions 112 to 547 of the family's 1533-position model. The record is from RNAcentral.
AAUGCCUAGGAAUCUGCCUAGUAGUGGGGGAUAACGUCCGGAAACGGGCGCUAAUACCGCAUACGUCCUACGGGAGAAAGUGGGGGAUCUUCGGACCUCACGCUAUUAGAUGAGCCUAGGUCGGAUUAGCUAGUUGGUGAGGUAAUGGCUCACCAAGGCGACGAUCCGUAACUGGUCUGAGAGGAUGAUCAGUCACACUGGAACUGAGACACGGUCCAGACUCCUACGGGAGGCAGCAGUGGGGAAUAUUGGACAAUGGGCGAAAGCCUGAUCCAGCCAUGCCGCGUGUGUGAAGAAGGUCUUCGGAUUGUAAAGCACUUUAAGUUGGGAGGAAGGGCAGUUACCUAAUACGUGAUUGUUUUGACGUUACCGACAGAAUAAGCACCGGCUAACUCUGUGCCAGCGGCCGCGGUAAUACAGAGGGUGCAAGCGUUAAUCG